Molecule: ribosomal RNA, 799 nt
Filed under: uncultured bacterium
Lineage: Bacteria
Description: bacterial SSU rRNA
Rfam family: Bacterial small subunit ribosomal RNA
Source: RNAcentral
AGAGUUUGAUCCUGGCUCAGGAUGAACGCUGGCGGCGUGCCUAACACAUGCAAGUCGAACGGAGUUAUUUUGGAAAUCUCUUCGGAGAUGGAAUCUUUAACUUAGUGGCGGACGGGUGAGUAACGCGUGAGCAAUCUGCCUUUAAGAGGGGGAUAACAGUUGGAAACGGCUGCUAAUACCGCAUAAGCGCACGGCAUCGCAUGAUGCAGUGUGAAAAACUCCGGUGGUAUAAGAUGGACCCGCGUUGGAUUAGCUAGUUGGUGAGGUAACGGCUCACCAAGGCGACGAUCCAUAGCCGACCUGAGAGGGUGACCGGCCACAUUGGGACUGAGACACGGCCCAAACUCCUACGGGAGGCAGCAGUGGGGAAUAUUGCACAAUGGGCGAAAGCCUGAUGCAGCGACGCCGCGUGAGCGAAGAAGUAUUUCGGUAUGUAAAGCUCUAUCAGCAGGGAAGAUAAUGACGGUACCUGACUAAGAAGCACCGGCUAAAUACGUGCCAGCAGCCGCGGUAAUACGUAUGGUGCAAGCGUUAUCCGGAUUUACUGGGUGUAAAGGGAGCGCAGGCGGUGCGGCAAGUCUGAUGUGAAAGCCCGGGGCUCAACCCCGUGACUGCAUUGGAAACUGUUUUGCUUGAGUGCCGGAGAGGUAAGCGGAAUUCCUAGUGUAGCGGUGAAAUGCGUAGAUAUUAGGAGGAACACCAGUGGCGAAGGCGGCUUACUGGACGGCAACUGACGUUGAGGCUCGAAAGCGUGGGGAGCAAACAGGAUUAGAUACUCUGGUAGUCCACGCCGUAAACG